This 462-nucleotide ribosomal RNA is filed under the name uncultured bacterium. RNAcentral's name for it is "partial 16S ribosomal RNA". It matches the Rfam family "Bacterial small subunit ribosomal RNA", at positions 338 to 795 of the family's 1533-position model. The record is from RNAcentral.
CCUACGGGAGGCAGCAGUGAGGAAUAUUGGUCAAUGGCCGGAAGGCUGAACCAGCCAAGUCGCGUGAGGGACGACUGCCCUAUGGGUUGUAAACCUCUUUUAUAAGGGAAGAAUAAAUGCUACGUGUAGCAUGAUGCCUGUACCUUAUGAAUAAGCAUCGGCUAACUCCGUGCCAGCAGCCGCGGUCAUACGUAGGAUCCGAGCAUUAUCCGGAGUGACUGGGUGUAAAGAGUUGCGUAGGUGGCAUAAUAAGUAGCUAGUGAAAUCUGGUGGCUCAACCAUUCAGACUAUUAGCUAAACUGUUAAGCUCGAGACCGUUAGGGGUAACUGGAAUGUCUAGUGUAGGAGUGAAAUCCGUAGAUAUUAGAAAGAACACCAAUAGCGUAGGCAGGUUACUGGGACGGUUCUGACACUAAGGCACGAAAGCGUAGGGAGCAAACGGGAUUAGAUACCCCGGUAGUC